AUGAAGAGGCUGCUGUGCUCUCUGCUGGGGCUGCUGUGCUCCCAGGUUUGCUGGGUGAAAGGGCAACAAGUGAAGCAAAGUCCUGUGUCCUUGGUUCUGCAGGAGGGAGAGAGGGCAGAGCUGCAGUGCAACUUUUCCAUAGGUGCAACCCAGAUGCAGUGGUUUCACCAAAGCCCCGGUGGACACCUCAUCAGCCUGUUUGUCAAUCCUUCUGGAACAAAGCAGAGGGGAAGACUGACAUCCACGACAGUAGCUAAAGAAUAUCGCAGCUCCUUGUACAUUUCCUCCUCCCAGACCACAGACUCAGGCACUUAUUUCUGUGCUGUGGAACCACAGUGA
Molecule: non-coding RNA, 339 nt
Organism: Cricetulus griseus (Chinese hamster)
Lineage: Eukaryota; Metazoa; Chordata; Mammalia; Rodentia; Cricetidae
Source: the annotation of a RefSeq genome assembly